GGACAACGGAAGAGACUCUGACACGAGGGGCAUGGAGAAACCUGUUUUUUUUUGUUGUUUUUUUGAGGUUGUUCAUCGUUAAAGUACCAGUCUAAGGAGCUUGGAAAGAUGAGCUUCUAGAACUUGUAUGUGAGGAGCAGGAGCUCCCUGAAGGAGAACCCCGC
Long non-coding RNA from Oreochromis aureus, 164 nucleotides. RefSeq lists it as uncharacterized. The transcript is spliced from 3 exons. Lineage: Eukaryota; Metazoa; Chordata; Actinopteri; Cichliformes; Cichlidae. The record is from RefSeq and is a predicted model, not a curated record.